UUGGUCUAGGGGUAUGAUUCUCGCUUUGGGUGCGAGAGGUCCCGGGUUCAAAUCCCGGACGAGCCCGCUGUUUGUUUUUUUUCGAACACCAUCAUUUUCUCACGGUGAAGAUUGAGGACCUUCACGGAGUCCCGGCCGCAGGGAACUUGGUCUCUCCGUGGCAGCUGCAGGCGCCGGGGCCGAUCCGACUUCCCGCUUCCGUCCGGCUUGCGACCCCUCGCCUUGCCCGGCUACAGGCAGGACUCGCCUGCGCCUCCUGACCGGAGCCUUCCACCUGGGAGUUCUGAGCUGGAGUGCUGGAGUGCUGGAGUGCAGUGGUGCGAUCUCGGCUCACUGCAACCUCAACCUCCCAAACUCAAGGGAUCCUCCCACCUCCACCUCCCAAGUAGCUGGGACUACAGGUCCUGAGGUCGCAGCGGCGCGUCCCUCCGGUACAUGGCGGGGAAGAGGUGCGGUUCCGGGAGCCUGCGACGCCUCUGGGGAGUCCAAGCCCGGCUCCUAGCCCUUUGCCCGAGGACGGAGGAGGACCUGGGGGGCUUCCCCUAGCUGAUGGUCUCAGUUCUCCAGGGGCGGCGGAGAGAGCAGGAAGCCCCAAAACCCGAGCUGGGUUUCCUGUUUGGAGUCGCAAGGUGUGGCAAUGUUGAAGUUCGCCGUGCCCCUGCUCCCCAUGGGAAUUAGAAUCCGGUCCAGGACCAGCAUCGGGAAAGGGGGACAGUUUGUGACCGAGGAAACUAGGACUGAUCCAGAACAGCGAAGGCAGAGACGCGCUGGGCUCAUGAAGCGCGACAAACGCCCUGACCCCUCUUCCGCUUGGCUCGUUGGUCUAGGGGUGUGGUUCUCACUUAGGGACCACAGGGACAAGCCCGGGAAACCCAAGAGGUCCCGGGUUCAAAUCCCGGACGAGCCCACACUUUAAGA
Gorilla gorilla gorilla (western lowland gorilla) is the source of this 918-nucleotide long non-coding RNA. RefSeq lists it as uncharacterized. Lineage: Eukaryota; Metazoa; Chordata; Mammalia; Primates; Hominidae. The transcript has 3 exons. The record is from RefSeq and is a predicted model, not a curated record.